AGGGUUUCUCAUUCUCAUACCAUUCUAUCCGCCCCCAUCGAGCUGCUUUAUCUCCGGGCGAUUCAAAAGGAGAUCUAGGGUUUCUCUUGGCGAUGCAAGAUCUGGUUUUCUCAAUGACACCAGAUCAGCGAAUCUCUCUCUAUACGACACCCAAUCGACUGAGUUUGAAGGUGGUGGAGGGUUUGGAUCUGCCAAUCAGUGACGUAUGAGCAAGGGGGUGUUUGGUCUGCCAAUCGGUGAUGUAUGAGCAAGAUUUCACAAGAUCUAAAGACGGAGUGGUGUGUAGCGUUAAAUCCGACGACUACGGUUCCGGUGGUAUAAUUCUCAAGCCGAUCGGUGGCAAUAGAGACGAGUUCCGGUUUUAGAUGGUGGUUGAGGUAGGUUCCGACAAACUGAGUUGCAGAUCUAGGUUUCACCAGUUGGCGUAGGCGAUACUGCAUCAUCAAAAUGGAUGGUUACUGAAUGGAGAUCCCUAAAGGAACUUACAUUGUUCUCAGAUCUCAGUUUGGGAUGGAUUUUUAGUUUAAAUGAGUCAUUUUGUUUAACUGGUUAUAAUUUGCGGGUAUUUGAAUUAAAAGGACAUAUUUGUGAUGAAAAGGGUGGUAUAAAUUAUCAGUUGAGACAAAAUGGGUGGUAUAAGUGUUUGGAUGGAAAUUGAAGUUUUUUCAGCUAAGGUUAGAGAAACGGGUAAAUAACUAAAUACAGUUUACUCUUAAGGUGUUCAGCUUAAUUGUAGCUCAUAUGAAUCACAUAAGUGUUUAUCCAAGCAUUAAAAACUUAUUAUUGCAAUUUCAGAAUUUUAAGAAGCACUCCUUUAGAUUUGCAAUAUGAUUCACUUUGGAACUGCUAUUGAAGGUCUUUAUGUUAUGGAAUUUAUUUUGUUACAUAUGACAGAUACUACGCCCACAAACGGAGGUACCAGAUCUGGUGGUGAUGGCAGCUGGGUUUUGCCGCAGGCGGUAUAGGCAUUUGUUCACACCCGAAUUGUACUGGUUGACUAACAAAGAAUGAUUUGUUUUUUGUUUUUUUAAUAAUAUUUUUUGAAAUGAAAUUGGCGAGUUGGGUAAAGGGUCAAAACAGGUGCGGGUUUAAAUGGGUCAUUUUAAACUACUUGUUGAAACUGGCUGGGUCAAUCACACUGGGUUUGGUUGACCCGUGGUAAACGCAUACCAUCCACCUUAAAAAAUAGUAAAUGACCAAAAUUGAAACAAUGUUAAGUUGUUAACAAUCGGUUCUUUAGUUAGGUUGCAUAAUGUGCUAUUUUUACAGUCUGAUCAAAACACGAAGAGCCUAAAGGCAGAGCUCAGAGCCAUUUUUCCGGAACUAGAAGAAAUGAGGAAGAGGAAAUCCGAAAGAAAGAAUCUGUUCAUCGAAGUUUUAGAACAGAUACAAAGAUACAAAUGGAAAUUUACACAACUUCUGCUAAGACACUCUUGGAUGAAACUGAUUUAUCAUUAAGAAAAAUUGAAGAACUUCAUGUGCAGUUACAAGCACUUGAGAAACAGAAGAGUGAUCGAAUUAAGAAAGUUCUACCACAUGAACACGUUGAAUUCACUGUGUUUGGUGCUUCGAAUGGACUCUAAUCAGAUGGUUCAUGAAACUAAUCCUGGUUUAGCAUAAACCGAAGGAACAAAGAUUCUAAGUAACGAUGCGAUCAUGAGUCUCGCUGCUGCUAUACGGAAAUUGCAUGAGGUCAAAAUUGAGAGAAUGCCAUGAGUAGGUUCAUGGAAAGAAAACAAUUAAAAACAUCCAUCAAGAUAUUGAAAUGAUCCAUGGGAAGUAUGUACCCUAUCAGUUCUUGGUGUACUGGUUGCUUAUUAUGUAUGUAAUAAAUCAAGCUUGCAGAUAUUCAUAACUAAAUUUCAGU
Helianthus annuus (common sunflower) is the source of this 1867-nucleotide long non-coding RNA. RefSeq lists it as uncharacterized. The record is from RefSeq and is a predicted model, not a curated record. NCBI's taxonomy places the organism in Eukaryota, Viridiplantae, Streptophyta, Magnoliopsida, Asterales, Asteraceae. The transcript is spliced from 5 exons.